Molecule: long non-coding RNA, 1246 nt
Organism: Alligator mississippiensis (American alligator)
Lineage: Eukaryota; Metazoa; Chordata; Crocodylia; Alligatoridae
Exons: 2
Source: RefSeq, a predicted model, not a curated record
GGUGUCAGGCCCCAGCCCAAGUUGGGACGAGGAACCGGGACUGGCUCGGGCUCAGCUCCCAGCUCCGUGACAUGUGGCUCUGAGUCCCUGCCGGGUCCCAAGCGUGAGCGGCUGGCCCAGCAGUCCCCUCCCCGCCUGUCCUACCCAGGGGCUGCUUGAGCCACAGGUGGCUUGUCCUGGCAAGGAGCCUCGCGAGCGCCCAUCAGGCAUGACUGCCCAUGAUCAGCACCUGUCCCACCGCUCCGCCAGGGACCCGCAGCCCCAGCAGAGGCCUGUGCAGCCUCCUCGCACCGUACCUCCAGCCACAGCCCCGCAGGUGGACGUGCCCGUGUGCAGCCACAGGCCCUGCCGCGCUCCAGCUUCUUUUCCUGCUUCCGUUCGCUCUCGUCCAGCCGCCCUUCAGGGACCUGCAAUAGUACACAAGACAGAAGUCCAGCUGACUGGCAAUGAAUUGCACACCCCCAUAGCAUGUAAAAUAACGUCGCUCACGCCGCCUACUGUACUCUCAAGCUUGGUGUCCUUUCAAAACAAGGGGGUGUGACAUACGUCCGGUUUCCUAAAUGAGGAGUACCCCGCUAGCACUCACCCGCGUAUGACAACAGGAGGACCUGAGGCACGAAUCCUGUGUAUAAGGGGGUCCCGCUGCUCCAAACCUUCCACGACAUGUUCUGCACACGGUCGACAACUUGGGGAUGCAACUUGCAGAGAGGACAGACACCGUGUCCAAACCCCUUUACCUUCCCUCGGGGUGGGCUGGCGUGGGUCUCUUCCCUCCUUGGUGGCUAACUCCUGCUCGUCUGCCAUUUCCCUGCUUCUCCUUCUGGGGCCUUAGAAAACAGACGGGCACUGGAUUUAAGUCAGCACAUCAGAGGACGAGACUACAGGCCCCAACUUCUCUUCUCCUCUUACCUGUACAUGCACCUGCUGCCACUCCAUCGUCAGUCCGUGCAAAGUGGGAAGAGCAGACGUCUGCAGGUUCGGCCUCUGACAUCCAGCCCGGAGCAGAGCGCGAUGGGCCAGGACUCUGGACAGAACUGCUCGGGCGGCGCCAUGAACGGUGACCGCAAGCACCGGCAACCCUGCUUCCAGGGCGGUGCUCCCUGCACACAGCUGGCUGCCGGGGCGUGAAGCCCGGAGACAACCUGCAAAGCCCUGAACUCCAGUUGACAGCUGCCUCAGGUGGUCUCGAUCAGGGGUCAAAGCUGCUCCAUGGCUGGGGUCAUAUGCCCCAGGACUUCAGGCUCCU